AACAAACAGACAGUAGACGAGAAACCGAACACAACAAGAAGAAGAUGAAAAUGGCGAGUGCAAGUAAACCAGAAUCUUUUGUAUGGACCAGUCAUGAGAUCGAACUGCUGCUGCGACUCACAUUCAACUACAAGACAUGGACGUGGCAGGCAGCACAGGAGGAGAACACGAGACAAGUCACGAGGAAAGAUCGCUGGAGAGUCUCCGGAAGAGACGGAACAAUCUGGUGCCACGGUGAAGUGGAGAGCAGGGUCAUGAAGUGGCUGUUGAUGAGUGUGAUGAAGCUCAGGUGCGUCUCUCUGCUGCAGCGGGAGGCCACGCCCACCAGCACCUGCACUGUGAAGGAGCAGGCGAGGGAAGCAAACCAGGCUGACACACCUGCUCGUGUUCAGUCACUUCACCGAGUCAGAAUAUUUGUAAUAUUCAAAUGGGAGAUCUUCUCACUCGCUGUGUGUUGGAUGAAGGUUAUGUUGUCACCUGGGAGACUUUUAAUGAGUCCACUCUGGAGGUGAAGUCGUACCUGAGGCCACUGAUGAUGAAGCAUUUGUCUCUCCGCUGUUUGAAAAAAACAGAACCGGAGAUAAAGCUCAGAUGACGACGAUCGAGGUGCCAUCCGAGUAUUGGGACUGAUGAGGAAGAAGAAGAGGAAGUAUGACGCUCUUCCGCAGAAACAGGACUGCGCCACGACGACCACGAGACCCUGUGCCGCCGCCGCGGUGUUGCUUCAAUUCAUUCACUGUGUGACAGUCUAUUUCAAUAAUCUACAUCCGUAUAGCCAUAAGGCAGAGAUGGGCUGAGCCUGAGCAUAUCUAAAGGUGCAGUGUAAUCCUGUAAUAUGCAGAGUAGUGAGGAAAAUUCAUUCUCCCCUCACGCCCAUCGGGGUCUUAAGCCCCCUGAUGCAGCUGAUAGAGAUCCAGUGUUAUCUCCGCAACACAGAACAAUUUAACACACUCACCCCCCCCCCACACCACACACACACACACACACACACACACACACACACACCAGAAAUCAACCCUUCGACCACCGUCAGUAUAUGCACAUGCACAUUUGCACACAGCUGCUUUGUGUCAAAAGGGAAUAUUCAAAUGUACGUCAACUCUCAUUCGCUCAGUGUUUCUGUGUCUGGACCUCUGCAGAGCUACAGCACACACACACGCGCGCACACACACACACACACACACACACACACACACACACACACACACACACACACACACACACACUAGUCACUUCCUCUGACCCUGUCCUCAUCAUGGACCUCCAUACCUCAGAUUCAUCUCAGAAGAGAAAAUGCCACAAAUGUCUCUUCAGUUUCGUUCAUGUCCUUCCUCCAUUAUCUUCAAAAUAAAACACAAACUGUGUGUUGAAUCAUCAAAUGGGUUUUAUGUGAGAGAGUGGAGAGGAUGCAGGAGGAGGAAAAAUAAAUAAGUGGUGCUGAAAAGAAAGAAGAGGUGAAGAGAGGGAAGGAGGGAGGUGAGGAACUGAGAAGAGAAAGGAAGGAAAUGAAAGGGGAAGAG
Acanthopagrus latus (yellowfin seabream) is the source of this 1520-nucleotide long non-coding RNA. RefSeq lists it as uncharacterized. Lineage: Eukaryota; Metazoa; Chordata; Actinopteri; Spariformes; Sparidae. The record is from RefSeq and is a predicted model, not a curated record. The transcript has 4 exons.